Molecule: ribosomal RNA, 406 nt
Filed under: uncultured bacterium
Lineage: Bacteria
Description: bacterial SSU rRNA
Rfam family: Bacterial small subunit ribosomal RNA
Source: RNAcentral
UGGGGAAUAUUGGGCAAUGGAGGGAACUCUGACCCAGCAACGCCGCGUGAAGGAUGAAGGUUUUCGGAUUGUAAACUUCUGUCGCGAGGGAUGAAGAAUGACGGUACCUCGUAAGAAAGCCCCGGCAAACUACGUGCCAGCAGCCGCGGUAAUACGUAGGGGGCGAGCGUUGUCCGGAAUGACUGGGCGUAAAGGGAGUGUAGGCGGCCUUUUAAGUUAAGUGUGAAAGCCCACGGCUCAACCGUGGAACUGCACUUAAAACUGGGAGGCUUAGAGUGCAGGAGAGGUAAGCGGAAUUCCCAGUGUAGCGGUGGAAUGCGUAGAUAUUGGGAAGAACACCGGAGGCGAAGGCGGCUUACUGGACUGUAACUGACGCUGAGGCUCGAAAGCGUGGGGAGCAAACAGG